GCCCAAAGUCGGUUUAGCUAACUUCGGAAGCGACUGCCUAAGGCAGGUUGGUGACUGGGGUGAAGUCGUAACAAGGUAUCCCUACGAGAACGUGGGGAUGGAUCACCUCCUUUCUACGGAGUACAAUUACAAUUUCAUUUUUGGCCUAAAAUCUUAAUACCUGAUAUUUAAAACUAAAUUAAUUAAAUAUCUCACGAGGGUACUAAGUCAGUGUGUUGGUGUAGCCAAAAGCACUCUAAUAUUCAGUUUUGAGGGAUUUACCUCAAAAAAAUAGAUCUUUGAAAACUGAAUAGCAUAUAAAUUAAUAUGAUAACGACAUCAAAAUAUAUUUUGUGAAAAUAAUUUUGAUCCGAGUUGUGUCUAUACAUGGGUAUAGACACUAUAAAUACCUUAAGAAUACAUCAAAACAAAAAAACAUUUUUUUUAAUAGGAAAAAAUAGUUACUUAUACUUUUAAAUAAGCAAGAGUUUGUAGUGG
RNAcentral lists this unclassified non-coding RNA (477 nucleotides) under uncultured Mycoplasma sp. RNAcentral describes it as "partial 16S-23S ribosomal RNA intergenic spacer". The stretch from base 1 to 113 matches the Rfam family "Bacterial small subunit ribosomal RNA", at positions 1419 to 1533 of the family's 1533-position model. Lineage: Bacteria; Bacillati; Mycoplasmatota; Mollicutes; Mycoplasmatales; Mycoplasmataceae. The record is from RNAcentral.